RNAcentral lists this ribosomal RNA (497 nucleotides) under uncultured bacterium. RNAcentral's name for it is "partial 16S ribosomal RNA". It matches the Rfam family "Bacterial small subunit ribosomal RNA", at positions 28 to 507 of the family's 1533-position model. The record is from RNAcentral.
GAUGAACGCUGGCGGCGUGCCUAAUACAUGCAAGUCGAGCGAACGGACGAGAAGCUUGCUUCUCUGAUGUUAGCGGCGGACGGGUGAGUAACACGUGGAUAACCUACCUAUAAGACUGGGAUAACUUCGGGAAACCGGAGCUAAUACCGGAUAAUAUUUUGAACCGCAUGGUUCAAAAGUAAAAGACGGUCUUGCUGUCACUUAUAGAUGGAUCCGCGCUGCAUUAGCUAGUUGGUAAGGUAACGGCUUACCAAGGCAACGAUGCAUAGCCGACCGGAGAGGGUGAUCGGCCACACUGGAACUGAGACACGGUCCAGACUCCUACGGGAGGCAGCAGUAGGGAAUCUUCCGCAAUGGGCGAAAGCCUGACGGAGCAACGCCGCGUGAGUGAUGAAGGUCUUCGGAUCGUAAAACUCUGUUAUUAGGGAAGAACAUAUGUGUAAGUAACUGUGCACAUCUUGACGGUACCUAAUCAGAAAGCCACGGCUAACUACGUG